Molecule: ribosomal RNA, 492 nt
Filed under: uncultured bacterium
Lineage: Bacteria
Description: partial 16S ribosomal RNA
Rfam family: Bacterial small subunit ribosomal RNA
Source: RNAcentral
AGUGAACGCUGGCGGCAGGCCUAACACAUGCAAGUCGAACGGCAGCACAGUAAGAGCUUGCUCUUACGGGUGGCGAGUGGCGGACGGGUGAGGAAUACAUCGGAAUCUAUUUUUUCGAGGGGGAUAACGUAGGGGAACUUACGCUAAUACCGCAUACGACCUACGGGUGAAAGCAGGGGAUCUUAGGAUCUUGCGUGAUUGUAUGAGCCGAGGUCGGAUUAGCUAGUUGGCGGGGUAAAGGCCCACCAAGGCGACGAUCCGUAGCUGGUCUGAGAGGAUGAUCAGCCACACUGGAACUGAGACACGGUCCAGACUCCUACGGGAGGCAGCAGUGGGGAAUAUUGGACAAUGGGCGCAAGCCUGAUCCAGCCAUACCGCGUGGGUGAAGAAGGCCUUCGGGUUGUAAAGCCCUUUUGUUGGGAAAGAAAAGCAGCAGGUUAAUACCCCGCUGUUCUGACGGUACCCAAAGAAUAAGCACCGGCUAACUUCGUG